AAAAGAACCCCGGCGAGGGGAGUGAAAAAGAACCUGAAACCGUGUACGUACAAGCAGUGGGAGCACGCUUAGGCGUGUGACUGCGUACCUUUUGUAUAAUGGGUCAGCGACUUAUAUUCUGUAGCAAGGUUAACCGAAUAGGGGAGCCGAAGGGAAACCGAGUCUUAACUGGGCGUUAAGUUGCAGGGUAUAGACCCGAAACCCGGUGAUCUAGCCAUGGGCAGGUUGAAGGUUGGGUAACACUAACUGGAGGACCGAACCGACUAAUGUUGAAAAAUUAGCGGAUGACUUGUGGCUGGGGGUGAAAGGCCAAUCAAACCGGGAGAUAGCUGGUUCUCCCCGAAAGCUAUUUAGGUAGCGCCUCGUGAAUUCAUCUCCGGGGGUAGAGCACUGUUUCGGCAAGGGGGUCAUCCCGACUUACCAACCCGAUGCAAACUGCGAAUACCGGAGAAUGUUAUCACGGGAGACACACGGCGGGUGCUAACGUCCGUCGUGAAGAGGGAAACAACCCAGACCGCCAGCUAAGGUCCCAAAGUCAUGGUUAAGUGGGAAACGAUGUGGGAAGGCCCAGACAGCCAGGAUGUUGGCUUAGAAGCAGCCAUCAUUUAAAGAAAGCGUAAUAGCUCACUGGUCGAGUCGGCCUGCGCGGAAGAUGUAACGGGGCUAAACCAUGCACCGAAGCUGCGGCAGCGACGCUGAUGCGUUGUUGGGUAGGGGAGCGUUCUGUAAGCCUGCGAAGGUGUGCUGUGAGGCAUGCUGGAGGUAUCAGAAGUGCGAAUGCUGACAUAAGUAACGAUAAAGCGGGUGAAAAGCCCGCUCGCCGGAAGACCAAGGGUUCCUGUCCAACGUUAAUCGGGGCAGGGUGAGUCG
RNAcentral lists this ribosomal RNA (870 nucleotides) under Escherichia coli. RNAcentral describes it as "partial 23S ribosomal RNA". It matches the Rfam family "Bacterial large subunit ribosomal RNA", at positions 517 to 1386 of the family's 2925-position model. Lineage: Bacteria; Pseudomonadati; Pseudomonadota; Gammaproteobacteria; Enterobacterales; Enterobacteriaceae. The record is from RNAcentral.